GAUGAACGCUGGCGGCGUGCCUAAUACAUGCAAGUCGAGCGAACAGACGAGGAGCUUGCUCCUCUGACGUUAGCGGCGGACGGGUGAGUAACACGUGGAUAACCUACCUAUAAGACUGGGAUAACUUCGUGAAACCGGGUCUAAUACCGGAUAAUAUAUUGAACCGCAUGGUUCAAUAGUUAAAGACGGUUUUGCUGUCACUUAUAGAUGGAUCCGCGCCGCAUUAGCUAGUUGGUAAGGUAACGGCUUACCAAGGCAACGAUGCGUAGCCGACCUGAGAGGGUGAUCGGCCACACUGGAACUGAGACACGGUCCAGACUCCUACGGGAGGCAGCAGUAGGGAAUCUUCCGCAAUGGGCGAAAGCCUGACGGAGCAACGCCGCGUGAGUGAUGAAGGUCUUCGGAUCGUAAAACUCUGUUAUUAGGGAAGAACAAAUGUGUAAGUAACUAUGCACGUCUUGACGGUACCUAAUCAGAAAGCCACGGCUAACUACGUG
This 497-nucleotide ribosomal RNA is filed under the name uncultured bacterium. RNAcentral describes it as "partial 16S ribosomal RNA". It matches the Rfam family "Bacterial small subunit ribosomal RNA", at positions 28 to 507 of the family's 1533-position model. The record is from RNAcentral.